CUCGUAGGCGGUUUGUCGCGUCUGCCGUGAAAGUCCGGGGCUCAACUCCGGAUCUGCGGUGGGUACGGGCAGACUAGAGUGAUGUAGGGGAGACUGGAAUUCCUGGUGUAGCGGUGAAAUGCGCAGAUAUCAGGAGGAACACCGAUGGCGAAGGCAGGUCUCUGGGCAUUAACUGACGCUGAGAAGCGAAAGCAUGGGGAGCGAACA
RNAcentral lists this ribosomal RNA (207 nucleotides) under uncultured bacterium. RNAcentral describes it as "partial 16S ribosomal RNA". It matches the Rfam family "Bacterial small subunit ribosomal RNA", at positions 568 to 774 of the family's 1533-position model. The record is from RNAcentral.